Molecule: microRNA, 24 nt
Filed under: Human immunodeficiency virus 1
Lineage: Riboviria; Pararnavirae; Artverviricota; Revtraviricetes; Ortervirales; Retroviridae
Description: hiv1-miR-TAR-5p
Gene: hiv1-miR-TAR-5p
Source: miRBase by way of RNAcentral
UCUCUCUGGUUAGACCAGAUCUGA